RNAcentral lists this non-coding RNA (31 nucleotides) under Homo sapiens (human). The record is from RNAcentral. Lineage: Eukaryota; Metazoa; Chordata; Mammalia; Primates; Hominidae.
UGGGGCCCAUCACAUUCCCACUGACUCAGAU